This 508-nucleotide ribosomal RNA is filed under the name Inopeplus sp. UPOL ZL0202. Its description in RNAcentral is "partial 16S ribosomal RNA". It matches the Rfam family "Bacterial large subunit ribosomal RNA", at positions 1816 to 2595 of the family's 2925-position model. Lineage: Eukaryota; Metazoa; Arthropoda; Insecta; Coleoptera; Salpingidae. The record is from RNAcentral.
CAUGGCCUUUUGAGGAUAAUUUAAGGUCUGACCUGCCCGCUGAGGAUUUGAAUGGCCGCAGUAUUUUGACUGUGCUAAGGUAGCAUAAUCAUUAGUUUUUUAAUUGAAAGCUGGAAUGAAUGGUUUGAUGAAGAAAAAGCUGUCUCAAAAUUAUAAUUAAAAUUUUAUUUUUAAGUUAAAAAGCUUAAAUUUAAUAAAAAGACGAGAAGACCCUAUAGAGUUUAAUUAAUUUUAAAAUUUUAAGAUUUGUAGUUUUAAUUUUCUUUAAGUUAUUGGUUAAUUUUAUUGGGGUGAUAAAAAAAUUAAAUAAACUUUUUUAAUAUAAAAAUAUUUAUUUGUAGAAUAUUGAUCCUAUAUUUUAGAUUAUUAGAUAAAAUUACCUUAGGGAUAACAGCGUAAUUUUUUUUGAGAGCUCAAAUCGAAAAAAGAGAUUGCGACCUCGAUGUUGGAUUAAAGGAAAAUUUUGACGCAGAAGUUAAAAUUUUAGGUCUGUUCGACCUUUAAAACU